Paramuricea clavata is the source of this 235-nucleotide non-coding RNA. Lineage: Eukaryota; Metazoa; Cnidaria; Anthozoa; Malacalcyonacea; Plexauridae. The record is from the annotation of a GenBank genome assembly.
AAGGAAUCGAAGAUAUUGGCAAAUGAACCCGUCCAGUUUAAAGAUAAGCUGGGUGAAUGGUUGCCAGAAAGAGGAAAAUGGAGAAUAUGUUGGCGGGGCACCGAACAUGGUUGGGGAGCCUCGACAUUUCGCAACAAAUGCGACAGGAAAAUACCGAGUUUAGUGAUUAUUAAAGUUUGGAACGGUACUACGAAUUUGAUCUUUGGUGGCUAUUGUACCCAAACAUGGGCGGGAA